GACGAACGCUGGCGGCGUGCCUAAUACAUGCAAGUUGAGCGAUGAAGAUUGGUGCUUGCACCAAUUUGAAGAGCAGCGAACGGGUGAGUAACGCGUGGGGAAUCUGCCUUUGAGCGGGGGACAACAUUUGGAAACGAAUGCUAAUACCGCAUAACAACUUUAAACAUAAGUUUUAAGUUUGAAAGAUGCAAUUGCAUCACUCAAAGAUGAUCCCGCGUUGUAUUAGCUAGUUGGUGAGGUAAAGGCUCACCAGGGCGAUGAUACAUAGCCGACCUGAGAGGGUGAUCGGCCACAUUGGGACUGAGACAAGGCCCAAACUCCUACGGGAGGCAGCAGUAGGGAAUCUUCGGCAAUGGACGAAAGUCUGACCGAGCAAAGCCGCGUGAGUGAAGAAGGUUUUCGGAUCGUAAAACUCUGUUGGUAGAGAAGAACGUUGGUGAGAGUGGAAAGCUCAUCAAGUGACGGUAACUACACAGAAAGGGACGGCUAACUACGUG
This 497-nucleotide ribosomal RNA is filed under the name uncultured bacterium. RNAcentral's name for it is "partial 16S ribosomal RNA". It matches the Rfam family "Bacterial small subunit ribosomal RNA", at positions 28 to 507 of the family's 1533-position model. The record is from RNAcentral.